This is a long non-coding RNA of Pezoporus occidentalis (night parrot), 1652 nucleotides long. RefSeq lists it as uncharacterized. The record is from RefSeq and is a predicted model, not a curated record. The transcript has 3 exons. Lineage: Eukaryota; Metazoa; Chordata; Aves; Psittaciformes; Psittacidae.
CAUGAUAUUAAUGAACAUGAAAAAAGAAAACUUAGAAACCCAUAGAGUAAAUGUUCAAUAUUUUCUUCAUUUUCUUCUCUCCUUUUACUAUUUUUGCUUAACGAUUACCCUGUGGACCAUCCUGAUGAAUUCCCAGUGAGUUGCCGUGGGAAGAGCGUUCAAAGGGAAAGGCAAAGUCAUCAGAUACUUUCAGCAGAUCGAUAUUAGACUUAUUAAUCAUUUUCCUUCAGUAAUAGAUUGGCUCUUUGGGGAAUCUUUCAGAAUUUGCUUCAGACUGAUGAGUUGUUUUGACAGUUCAGAAAAUGCCUUAAUUUAGAAACUGCAGCUUUUCAUGUUGCUGCUCUGUUUAACCCAUCAUAGAUCCAUCUGUUGUAAACACACAGUAUUUAUUCAUUCCUGGGUAGUUUCUGUGAUAUCAGUUUUGUGGUAUUGAAGUGUCCUACACAUGCUGUAAGUCAUAUUAGCAAGGCUCUUUCUGCUCUUCUAAUUCUUUAUUGGUGGAAUGCCAUUUCUACUGCAGAAGGUGAACUAGUUUGUUCAGAGGACACUGCUUCGAGAUCUUUAUAAUCUCCUCUGGAGGCAGGCUUAAUUCUGAGGAAUCUUGUGGUCCUGGAAGAAGGAACAUCAAUAUUGCUCUGAGCAUUUCCUCACUGGUGAGGAGCCUCUGGAAUGACAGGAUCACAGCAGCAGGAGAUGGAGAGAUUUUGGAAUACUUUUCUUCCUGAUUAGGCCAAGAGCUUAUGCAAAGAGCAUUCUUCCAGGGGAAAUAAGUAUGUGGGUUUUACAUCAAAGUCAGCUCAAGAUCCGUACUGAAAUGGGAAAUUCAAAAUCAGGAGAUGAGGGAACAGAGAGGAAAAACCCAGCAACUUACAAAGCUCUAUUAGGACCAGAUUGAAGCUGAAGAAAAUCCCACCCACUGUUCAAACCAAGACAACCCCAUGCACACACAAACCGCAUGGACACAGAUCCUCAGGCCUUAUGAGGAGCAUUUGAGGGCUGAAGCUGUCAUCUUCACCUUUGCAGUUCUUAAUUCUUCUUUCUCCCCAAAUCCAGAAGGAAUACACCAGGAACAAUGCAGCUCACCUGUGUCAUUACUGAGGAUUAAGGAGCAAAGAGUAUAAAUCAUUUCUUAAUGAGAAACUGAGGGGGAAUAGGGUGGGGGCAUCAUUAGACAAACAAAGCAAAGGACCCAGCACAAUAGAUGCUAAGUAGCCCAUUAGUCUCUGCUAAGUGCUGCUGCUUGAGUUUACAGCAGGAAAAGCAGUUUAGGGGAGAAAAAAAGGGAUUUAGCAUGAACAUAUCCUUUCUAUCUAAAGAUGUGCUAAACUCUGUAGCAGUGCCUCUCAAAUUAGUAAAGGGAUAGAAUUUACAUAGAAAGUACUCCGUGUUUUUGCCUUAGUCCCCACAAGAGUUGAUCUGCUUUUAAUGCAGAUGCUGACUGAGCCCGGGGUAAUCCCAGUUUACAAUGGGCUUGAUGGGAGAUGUUAAGCAUAUGGUUCUUUGAAAAACCUCUCUCCAGCCCAUGGAGUGCAACAAAUCAGUUAGUUCUUGUUUUCUCUUGCACUGUUAAAAGCAAUAUCGAACCCUUGACAUAUUUGACCAGGCUUUGUUGUCACAGACAUUUGUUAGAACUAAUUUAACUAUGUAGAAAA